AGGUUGCAGAAGCAGAGGAGUGGGCAGGGUUGGUAGAGCGCAAGUGUUCUGAACUUCUUGCGCUCUUCUUGUGAACCUUUUUAAAAAAACGUUACUUUAUUAAGAAAUUAUUUAAUAAUACAUAAAAAAAAACUCCAGCAGUGCUUCGGUUGUUUUGAUGGGACCGACCACAUAGCAACUGGAAUCGUUUUUCUGUCUUUGAUUGAUGCUGUUUAAUGGAAAACUUGAGUGGAAAUUUAUUUCCGAUGAGGUUAUUCCCAUGAAAUUUUCACCAGACAUCAGUAUUAACUCGAGAAAUCUGGAAAUAUAAAGAACUCACAACAUUAAAGUCCGUAAAUAAAGUGAAAUGACACAGGAAAAAAGUAUUGAAGAUGUUAAGAAAAAGCAGUUCUCCAUGGAAGGAACCAGCUGAAAUCCAUAAGUAAUUAUACCCUCUAUCUGUGCAAAUUAAUAUCAGCUGGGUUAGUAAAUUGAUGGUCUAUAAAAAGGCUUUUCGUUACCAAGGUGCCACACAAGAAACAUCUCAUGAUGGGUAAAAGCAAAGCGCUCUCCCAAGACCUUCGCAACCUUAUUGUUGCAAAACAUAUUGAUGGAAUCCAAUACAGAUGUAUUUUAAAACUUCAGAAUUUUCCAGUAAGCACCAUUGAGGCCAUUAUCCGCAAGUGGAAGCAACGUCACGCCGUCAUCAACCGGCCACGCACAGGAACUCCACGCAAUAUUACUGACCAGGGAGUCAGAAGAAUAGCCAGAAGAGUAGCCCAAGAGCCAAGGACCACUUGGAAAGAGCUCCAGAAAGACUUGGAGGCAGCAGGUGCCAUCGUCACAGAGAAAACAAUAGGCGAUGCACUCCACUGCUCACGCUCACCCGCAAGACUCCAUUACUAAAGAAAAGGCAUGUCGAAGCUCGUUUAAAGUUUGCUACAACUCAUUUGGACAAGCCUAUGAAAUACUGGGAGAGUGUAGUCUGGUCAGACGAGAGCAAAAUUGAACUUUUUGUCUGUCAUACUACACACCAUGUUUGGAGAAGUAAUGGCACUGCACAUCACCCUGAAAACACUACACCAACAGUGAAGUUUGGAGGUGGAAGCAUCAUGGUGUGGGGCUGUUUUUCAUCACAUGGUACUGGAACUUCAUAGUGAAGGAACGAUGAAUGGAGCCCUUUACUGGGAGAUUCUUGAGAAGAAUCUGCUGCCAUCCACCAGGAUGAUGAGACGUGGGUGGACCUUCCAGCAGGACAACGAUCCAAAGCAUACAGCAAAGGAAAAACUAUUGGUUUCAGAGGAAAAAAAAUCAAGGCGUAAGAAUGGCCCAGUCAAUCACCUGAUUUGAAUCCAACUGAAAAAGAUUGAAAGACGAUAUGUUUAGAAGAAUGAGUCAAAAUCACACCUGAAUACUGCGUCCCGUUAAUUUCUUCAUACAGGAAACCUCUUGAAGCGGUCUUUACAAACAAAGGCUUCUCCACUAUGUAUUAAAUAAAUUUCAGUCAGCGUGUUCAAUACCUUUUUUUUUUCUUUUUUUCCCCCCCUGUGUCAUUCCUUUAUUAACGCACAAUUUAAUUUAUGGACUUUAAUGAUUGGAUUUCUUUAUAGCCCAUAUUUGACCAUACUUAAUUAAAAUAGUGUAGUCUAUAUGUUGUCAUAUAUUCUUGCAGUGGUAUAAUAUAAUGGGACUAUUUUUCUUUAGUGGUAUAGCCUACGUGUGAUUAUUUUUCUUUGCAGUGGUAUAGCGUAUAUAUAUGACCUGACAUUUUUAUAGUAGUGUAGCAAUACAUUCUUACAAUAUUAUAGCCUACAUAUGACCAUAAAUCAUUACAGUAGUAUAGCCUGCAUGCAACAAUGCUUUACUACUGUAGUAUAGCCUAUAUUUGACCAUUAUAGUACUAUAGACUACAUGUGGCCAUAGAUUCUUACAGUAGUAUAGCACAUGUGACCAACCCUUAUUAGUGUAGUAUAGAUUACAUGUGACCAUUCACUACAGUAUAGUCCAUAUUUGACUAUACAUUCUUACAGUAGCAUAACCGAUCAGUGACCAUACAGUACAGUAGUAUACUCUAUACAUGACUCUACAUUAUUACAGUAGUGUAGACUACAUGAGACAGUAUUGUUAAAGGAGUGUAGCCUAUGUGUUAUCUUGCGUUAUUACUUUGUUCAGCAGCUCUGUGAAUAACAAGAAAGGUAUGUGAGGAUUCUAAGUAUCGGUGUGCCGAUUCAGAGUUUAAUAGGCUGUAUCUCUUGCAGUACUACAACUUAAGUGUGGACAUAAACUAACUAAAUAUCUCUAUUACUGUAUUAUAAUCUACCAUUGGCCAUGACAUUGUCUUUUACUGUACUAUAACCUGUGGCUGUUAUACUUGAUCUCUAUUACAGUUGUAUAGCUUAUGUGUUAUAGUAAUAUUAAAUUAUCUAAACAUUCCAACAGUACAGGCACUAUGAAAUAGUUUACAUAUGACUCUAAAUACUUUAUUCUGUAUUACAGUAGUAUAACUCAUUUUGAGUUGGGAUUGAAGUGUUAAAGCAUAUUUACCAAGAUCUGCUGUUCCACUAUAUAAUAAACGUGAAUGAACUGUG
Long non-coding RNA from Ictalurus punctatus (channel catfish), 2567 nucleotides. RefSeq lists it as uncharacterized. NCBI's taxonomy places the organism in Eukaryota, Metazoa, Chordata, Actinopteri, Siluriformes, Ictaluridae. The transcript is spliced from 2 exons. The record is from RefSeq and is a predicted model, not a curated record.